CAUUAGUUGCUGUUUGUAAUCCAAGUCGUGUUUAUUUGUUUGUGAUGAUUUUGGUCAUAGAAACAGUAAAACAGAGGCUCUGCUACCAUUCCUUUCUUAAAUCUGUAUUUAAAACCUAUGUAUAUCUUCACAGAUGAGGAUGAAGCUCAGUUACAAAAAGUAUUGCGCCGUUUACGUGUUACACAAUCUCCAACAAAAAGAAGAUGAAAUGAUGCUGCCAACAGUCCUUUGAAAGCCCAAAUGGGAAUUCCAGUGAUAAUUAAGCUAUGGAAAAUGGUACCUUGUUAUGAAAAUGCUGUUCUACAAAAAAAAAAAAAAAAGAGAGAGAGAGAGAAGAACCAACUCUUGAAGCAUCAUAUGUGAAAGAGGAUAAUCUUUCAUCUCCUGAAAUAUGACACAAUACUUCUAAUUUAAAUGACAAUUAUUAAAAUUAACUUGUGAAACCUUUAAGGAAAAGCUCUUACUUAGCUGGCAUAUUUUGGAGAAAAUCCUUGGUUAAUAAUGUAUCUUUUAAUGAAUUUAAAAAAAUGUAAAGUUGCAGACAUUAAAGAUUUACAGGUUUG
This 563-nucleotide long non-coding RNA is filed under the name Gallus gallus (chicken). Lineage: Eukaryota; Metazoa; Chordata; Aves; Galliformes; Phasianidae. The record is from RNAcentral.